Molecule: ribosomal RNA, 253 nt
Filed under: uncultured bacterium
Lineage: Bacteria
Description: partial 16S ribosomal RNA
Rfam family: Bacterial small subunit ribosomal RNA
Source: RNAcentral
UACAGAGGGUGCGAGCGUUAAUCGGAAUUACUGGGCGUAAAGCGCACGUAGGUGGCUAUGUAAGUCGGGUGUGAAAUCCCCGGGCUCAACCUGGGAACUGCAUUCGAGACUGCAUGGCUGGAGUACGGAAGAGGAGGGCGGAAUUCCCGGUGUAGCGGUGAAAUGCGUAGAUAUCGGGAGGAACAUCAGUGGCGAAGGCGGCCUGCUGGGCUCUUGCUGACACUGAUGCGCGACAGCGUGGGGAGCAAACAGG